UUAAGCAAAGCCCACCCGUCGUUGCAGCCACGCACCUCUUCUCCCCUCCAAUCGCCUGUGAGCAUGAUAAGAACCUUCCAGAAACUUCUGCAACCAACCCGCGGACCCCACUGGGCUUCUACUCCCCUCCGCCGCUUCUGCGGCCGCGCCCCGGCCCCGCCUGCGCCCGCCGGCGGCGACAUCUUCCAAUGGAACUCCGCCAUCACCUCCCACCUCCGCGGCGGCAGGGUGGCCGCCGCGCACCGACUGUUCGACGAAAUGCCUGAGCGGAACGUGUUCACGUGGAACUGCAUGAUCUCGGGCUUCGUCCAGAACCGGAUGCUCGCGGACGCCCGCAGGGCGUUUGACGCGAUGCCCGCGAGGAACUCCGUCUCAUGGGCGGCGCUCCUGACCGGCUACGCGCGGAGCGGGAGGGUCGUCGAGGCCAGGGAGCUCUUCGACCGGAUGCCAGACCGGAACGUGGUCUCCUGGAACGCGAUGAUGUCGGGCUACAUGCGCAACGGGAUGGUCGAGCAGGCGCGCGAGCUGUUCGACGCGAUGCCGUCGAGGAACGACGUCUCGUGGCUGACCAUGAUCUCCGGUUACAUCAGGAGGCGGCGUGUCCAUGAGGCGAGGGAGCUCUUUGACCGCGCGCCUUCCCCGUCGACGUCUGUCUGCAACGCGUUGCUGUCGGGUUACGUCGCGCUUGGUUGCUUGAAGGACGCCGAGGAGCUGUUUGUCCGGAUGCAGAGACGGAACCCUGUCUCGUGGAAUGUUAUGAUCACAGGCUACGCGCGGGCUGGGAGGAUGCAGGUUGCGCAGAGCCUGUUUGAUGAGAUGCCCCAGAAGGACACGAUAUCUCGGACAGCCAUUAUGCGUGGGUACUUGCAGAAUGGAGACGUUGAUGCUUCGUGGAAGGUGUUCGAGGAAAUGCCUGACCGGGAUGCUAUUGCUUGGAACACAAUGAUCGGUGGUUUCGUGCAGAGCGAGAGGGUGGAUGAUGCGUUGAGAUUGUUUGCUGAGAUGCCAAAUAGGGAUCUCGUAUCUUGGAACACGAUCUUGCAAGGCUAUGUUCAACAAGGGGACAUGGCUAGUGCAAAUACCUGGUUUAGAAGAAUGCCUGAGAAAGAUGAGACCUCGUGGAACACAUUGAUCUCUGGGUACAAAGAUGAAGGAGCACUAGCUUUGCUGUCAGAAAUGACCAGAGGAGGACUCAGGCCAAACCAAGCCACUUUGAGCGUUGUUAUUUCUAUCUGCGCCUCUCUUGUUGCGCUCGGAUGUGGAAAAAUGGUGCAUCUCUGUGCAGUCAAAACUGGCUUUGAGCGUGAUGCUUUGGUAAUGAGCUCAUUGAUAUCUAUGUACUCAAAGUGUGGGCUAAUCGCUGAAGCCUCACAAGUUUUCGAAUUGAUGUUGCAGCGAGAUACAGUGACAUGGAAUGCCAUGAUUGCGACAUAUGCUUAUCAUGGUAAGGCUGCUGAAGCUCUGAAACUCUUUCACAAGAUGACUGAAGAUGGGUUUCGUCCAGACCAUGCAACCUUUCUUAGUGUAUUGUCUUCUUGUGCACACAAAGGCUAUUUAUAUGAAGGUUGUCGUUAUUUUAGAAGCAUGCAAGAAGAUUGGAACUUGAUUCCUAGGUCUGAUCACUAUUCCUGUAUGGUUGAUCUCCUAGGAAGAUCUGGUUUUGUACACCAAGCUUAUGCAUUCACAAGAAAAAUCCCAUCUGACCUUCAAGUAAAUGCAUGGGAGACACUGUUUAGCGCAUGUAAUGCUCACGGAGAUGUUCAGCUUGGAGAAGUCAUUGCAAAGAAUGUCCUUCAGGCGCAACCUUCUGAUGGAGGAAUGUAUACACUCUUGGCAAACUUAUAUGCUGCCAAAGAGAUGUGGAGCAGUGCUGCCAAUGUUAGAGGAUUCAUGAAAGAGCAGGGCUUAAAGAAGGAGACAGGGUGUAGUUGGGUUGAGCUGAAGGGGGAGGUUGUUUCCUUCUCAUCAAAUGACAAUACACAUCCCCUAAUUGAUCAGAUAUGCCAGGAGGUUGAUAACCUUUCUGUCAUGAUAGAAGGGGCGAUGUGAUAAGGUUAUGAAAAAUGGAACUCUGGCAGUCUGUGAGAUCAGUUGACGGCACUGUUGGCUCCAGAGUCCAAAAUUUGGGAAAACACAGUCUUUUUUUGUCAGGGGCCGGGGGUACGCCCAAAUGAGUUCUUGAAAGGAUAGGAUAGUGAUGUGUUGGAGCCUGUUCAAUUCUUUAGCGAUGACCCCUUCCAAGAUCGUAAUCAAGAAGUUAAAAACAAGACAGUGAGCAAUUGGAGACCACACAGUAAUGCCUUGCCAAACAGACUGGUACUUCGAUAGCAAUUUCCCUCCACUACCACACACUGGUUCCAAAUUGGAGAUUUCCUACAAUUAGCAGUGGUGAUGGUGGUGGGAGCAUUUUCACUAUAUCAAGGAGGAAUUUAAGAACUUGGUUCCAUGUCUGCGCUGUCACUGGGGACCAGAGCACCCGUGACGUCUUCAGUGCAAAUUUCCCAAGCGAUUACACAGAACUCAUAGUGCAGCUGGGAACCUCUUUCUGGGCAACCAAGAUCUACAACCUUUCCUUCAGCUCCAUCCAAGACCUUAUGUACUCCAACUGGAUAUGGAAUUCCAAAUCCCCUCUAAAGUCAUGGAUUUCUUCUGGCUUCUUCUCAAUGAUCGCCUCAACACCAAGGACAUGCUGAGGAAGGAAUUUACACUUAGAUGAUGGUGUCAACUGCAUUCUUCGCAAUGAAGGGCUCCUUGAGAACAAGGAUCAUCUGUUCUGGACCUGCAGCAUCAGCAAGGAUAGUUGGGAAACUCUUAACCUCUUCCCUUGUUGUGAUGUGAUGGGAUGGAAAACCAGUUAUCCUCUGCCAAAGCCUCUUUAAACCUUUCUUGAUGGAGGUCAUAUUGCUGCCUGGAACAUUUGGAAACAGAGAAAUUUCCAAGAUUUUUGGAAAUGCCAAUCCUAGCCUAACUCCUAGUCCUUCGUUUUUAAGAACCUCUUCCUUCUUACAGAAUGAAGGAGAUUAAUGAUUAAUCGACCAUAUCUUACCACUUGGCUGGAUAGCCAGGGCUGAGCUUCUUUGUUCUUCUCUUUGUACUUUCACCUCACCCCCUUCUUUGUAAAUGUCGUCUUUUCAUACAUUUUACUGUCGGGGCCUGCUCAAUAGUUUCAGUUAAAAAAGCGAGUAACAGAUAUGAAUGGUUGUGUGGAGUUUUGUGCCCAGCAACUCGACACUAUACUGUAUCUGGAUACUGUAGACUGGAUAGAAUCCGUGAACAUCCUAAAUUGGUGGUACAGUUUGAGCUAACCUUGUUGGUACCAUCUUCUCUCACAUGCUUAUGCGGCAGAGAGGGCGAUCAUAUUAAGUCCUUACUUUGAUGACGAACAAUGCAAUUAGUGCAUUCACUGUAGCUUGGAUAACAGUGUUUCUUCUGAAAGAAGAUGCAUGAAUGAUGUUAGGACUAAUGGGCUAUAC
This is an RNA transcript of Triticum dicoccoides, 3473 nucleotides long. It is a transcript of the gene named protein LOW PSII ACCUMULATION 3, chloroplastic-like, with no coding region annotated. NCBI's taxonomy places the organism in Eukaryota, Viridiplantae, Streptophyta, Magnoliopsida, Poales, Poaceae. The record is from RefSeq and is a predicted model, not a curated record. The transcript has 4 exons.